UACGUAGGGGGCAAGCGUUAUCCGGAUUUACUGGGUGUAAAGGGAGCGUGGACGGCGAUGCAAGUCUGAAGUGAAAGGCGGGGGCCCAACCCCCGGACUGCUUUGGAAACUGUAUGGCUGGAGUGCAGGAGAGGUAAGUGGAAUUCCUAGUGUAGCGGUGAAAUGCGUAGAUAUUAGGAGGAACACCAGUGGCGAAGGCGGCUUACUAGACUGUAACUGACGUUGAGGCUCGAAAGCGUGGGGAGCAAACAGG
This 253-nucleotide ribosomal RNA is filed under the name uncultured bacterium. Its description in RNAcentral is "partial 16S ribosomal RNA". It matches the Rfam family "Bacterial small subunit ribosomal RNA", at positions 524 to 776 of the family's 1533-position model. The record is from RNAcentral.